Molecule: long non-coding RNA, 223 nt
Filed under: Trifolium pratense (red clover)
Lineage: Eukaryota; Viridiplantae; Streptophyta; Magnoliopsida; Fabales; Fabaceae
Description: long non-coding RNA (TPRA_LNC005328)
Source: RNAcentral
AACACUUCAUCAUCAUCACCAUUCCCAAAUCAUAAACAAAAGACUAAGAAUCUUCAAUUAUCAAAACUUAUAACCCAUUCCAUCAAAAUCAGAAAUCAUCAAACAGAACAAGAGAAAAGGAAAAGAAGGGAGGAAGAAUCUUUGCUACCACAAACAGAACACCACCGCAAAUCCGGCCGCUGCCACCGAAUCCGCCCCAACAUCAUCUAUGAACGACCUCCAC